UGGGGAAUUUUGCACAAUGGGGGCAACCCUGAUGCAGCGACGCCGCGUGAUUUAGAAGGCCUUCGGGUUGUAAAAAUCUUUUGUAUGGGAAGAAAAUGACAGUACCAUACGAAUAAGGAUCGGCUAAUUACGUGCCAGCAGCCGCGGUAAUACGUAAGGUCCGAGCGUUGUCCGGAAUCAUUGGGCGUAAAGGGUACGUAGGCGGAUAAGCAAGUUAGAAGUGAAAUCCUAUAGCUCAACUAUAGUAAGCUUUUAAAACUGCUCAUCUUGAGGUAUGGAAGGGAAAGUGGAAUUCCUAGUGUAGCGGUGAAAUGCGCAAAUAUUAGGAGGAAUACCGGUGGCGAAGGCGACUUUCUGGCCAUAAACUGACGCUGAGGUACGAAAGCGUGGGUAGCAAACAGG
This 402-nucleotide ribosomal RNA is filed under the name Actinomycetes bacterium. RNAcentral's name for it is "Actinobacteria bacterium partial 16S ribosomal RNA". It matches the Rfam family "Bacterial small subunit ribosomal RNA", at positions 355 to 776 of the family's 1533-position model. Lineage: Bacteria; Bacillati; Actinomycetota; Actinomycetes. The record is from RNAcentral.